This 420-nucleotide ribosomal RNA is filed under the name uncultured bacterium. RNAcentral describes it as "bacterial SSU rRNA". It matches the Rfam family "Bacterial small subunit ribosomal RNA", at positions 108 to 518 of the family's 1533-position model. The record is from RNAcentral.
GAGUACACGUGGACAAUCUGCCCCCGGCCGGGAUAGCCCAGGGAAACCUGGAUUAAUACCGGAUGAGACGGGACCCGCGAUGGCGGGACCCGGGAAAGGCGCUGCGGCGCCGCCGGGGGAUGAGUCUGCGUCCCAUUAGCUAGACGGCGGGGUAAGGCCCACCGUGGCGACGAUGGGUAGCCGGCCUGAGAGGGUGACGGCCACAUUGGAACUGAGACACGGUCCAGACUCCUACGGGAGGCAGCAGCUAAGAAUCUUCCGCAAUGGGCGAAAGCCUGACGGAGCGACGCCCGCGUGAACGAAGAAGGCCGUGAGGUUGUAAAGUUCUUUUCGGGAGGGGGAACAACCGUGGCAGGGAAUGGCCGCGGGAUGACGUGAAUCCCGGAAUAAGCCCCCGGCUAACUACGUGCCAGCAGCUGC